AGAAAAGCGAGAAAAGUGCAUACGGAGGAUGCCUGGGCUUCCAAGAGCGAUGAAGGACGCGGCAAGCUGCGAAAAAGUGCGGGGAUCUGCAAACGAGAUUAGAUCCGCACGUGUCCGAAUGGGGGAACCCGCCAUGUUGAAGGCAUGGCACAUGGCUUAAGUCAUGAGCAUACGCAGGGAACUGAAACAUCUUAUUACCUGCAGAAAGAGAAAGAAAGAUCGAUUCCCGGAGUAGUGGCGAGCGAAAUGGGAAGAGCCCAAACCGUGUAUGUUUCGGCAUAUGCGGGGUAGUAGGACCGGACAUAUGGAAUGACGGAAAGAACCGGAACCGGCUGGGAAGCCGGACCGCAGAGGGUGACAGUCCCGUAGGGGUAGUUAUCCGCGAUUCCGUCCGGCACCUGAGUAUGACGGGACACGAGCAAUCCUGUCAGAAUCCGCGGGGUCCAUCCCGCAAGGCUAAAUAGAAUUGGAAGACCGAUAGUGAACCAGUACUGUGAAGGAAAGGUGAAAAGGACCGUGAACAACGGAGUGAAAAAGAACCUGAAACCGUAUGCAUACAAGCGGUCGGAGUCCCUUUAUGGGAUGACGGCGUGCCUUUUGGAUAAUGAGCCUACGAGUUGAUAUAUCCGGCGAGGUUAAGCACUUCAGGUGCGCAUCCGAAGCGAAAGCGAGUGUGAAGAGCGCGCAGAGUCGGUUGUAUCAGACGCGAAACCUAGUGAUCUACCGUUGACCAGGUUGAAGUUACCGUAACGGGUAAUGGAGGACCGCACCGGUAUCCGUUGAAAAGGAUUCGGAUGAGUUGAGGGUAGGGGUGAAAGGCCAAUCAAACUGGGAGAUAGCUCGUACUCCCCGAAAUGUCUUUAGGGACAGCCUCACUGUAGUAUGCCGGAGGUAGAGCUACUGAUAUGAUGCGAGGGCUUCACCGCCUAUCAAAUUGUGACAAACUCCGAAUGCCGGCAUAUGAUUGGUGUGAGUGAGUCGCCGGGUGCUAAUGUCCGGUGGCAAAAGGGAAACAGCCCGGACCAUCAUCUAAGGCCCCGAAACGUGUGAUAAGUUGUAAAAACGAUGUCAGGUAGCAGAGACAGCUAGGAUGUUAGCUUGGAAGCAGCUAUUCAUUUAAAGAGUGCGUAACAGCUCACUAGUCGAGCGACCCGGCGUGGAUAAUAAUCGGGCAUAAAUCACACUGCCGAAGGUGUGGACUGAAUAUAAUCAGUGGUAGGGGAGCAUUUCAACCGGCGAAGAAGCGGCAGCGCGAGCGGCCGUGGAGCGAUUGAAAAUGAAGAUGUAGGCAUAAGUAACGACAAUGCGGAUGAGAAAUUUGCACACCGAAACCCCCAGGUUUCCUGAUCAACGUUAAUCGGAUCAGGGUAAGUCGGGUCCUAAGGCGGAGCCGAAAGGUGCAGCCGAUGGCCAAAUGGUUAAUAUUCCAUUACCCGUGACGGACUAUAUGAGGAGAGACGGAGUAGUGACACAUACGCCGGCAGACGGAAAAGCCGGUUGAAUGGCAAAGGUAGACGGUGCCGUUAAGAGCGGUCCGUGCCGAAGCCAGAAAGUACGGCGAGUCUACGGACGAGCCGAUAGUUAUGGUAAUCAGACUUCCAAGAAAAUCUUCGCAAUCAACUACCGUCACGGCCCGUACCGUAAACCGACACAGGUGGGGAGGGAGAGAAUCCCGAGGUGCUCGAGUGAAUCAUGGCUAAGGAAUUCGGCAAAAUGACCCCGUAACUUAGGGAGAAGGGGUCCCGCGAAAGCGGGCGCAGUGAAGAGGUCCAGGCGACUGUUUACCAAAAACACAUGGCUUUGCGAAAUCGAAAGAUGACGAAUAAGGCCUGACACCUGCCCGGUGCCGGAAGGUUAAGAGGGGAUGUUAGUCGGAAUGCGAAUGAAGACGAAGCAUUGAAUUGAAGCCCCGGUAAACGGCGGCCGUAACUAUAACGGUCCUAAGGU
Molecule: ribosomal RNA, 1947 nt
Filed under: Candidatus Egerieousia excrementavium
Lineage: Bacteria; Pseudomonadati; Bacteroidota; Bacteroidia; Bacteroidales
Description: partial 23S ribosomal RNA
Rfam family: Bacterial large subunit ribosomal RNA
Source: RNAcentral